This 45-nucleotide non-coding RNA is filed under the name Trichobilharzia regenti. Lineage: Eukaryota; Metazoa; Platyhelminthes; Trematoda; Strigeidida; Schistosomatidae. The record is from RNAcentral.
ACCUAGAUGAAGAGUCCCAAAUGGGACGAAAUGCGCAUCCUGGAU